Molecule: ribosomal RNA, 494 nt
Filed under: uncultured bacterium
Lineage: Bacteria
Description: partial 16S ribosomal RNA
Rfam family: Bacterial small subunit ribosomal RNA
Source: RNAcentral
GACGAACGCUGGCGGCGUGCUUAACACAUGCAAGUCGAACGGAAAGGCCUGCUUUCCCUUGUGGAUUGCGGGUACUCGAGUGGCGAACGGGUGAGUAACACGUGAGUGAUCUGCCCCCAACUUGGGUAUAAGCCUGGGAAACUGGGUCUAAUUCCCGAUAGGACUGCAGGGUGGUGCCUGUGGUGGAAAACGAUUUUCUAGUGGUUGGGGAUGAGCUCGCGGCCUAUCAGCUUGUUGGUGGGGUAAUGGCCUACCAAGGCGGCGACGGGUAGCCGGCCUGAGAGGGUGGACGGGCACAUUGGGACUGAGAUACGGCCUAGACUCCUACGGGAGGCAGCAGUGGGGAAUAUUGCACAAUGGGCGGAAGCCUGAUGCAGCGACGCCGCGUGGGGGAUGACGGCCUUCGGGUUGUAAACUCCUUUCGACCGCGAGGAAGCCACCUGGUUGGAAGGGUGGUGACGGUAGUGGUAGAAGAAGCACCGGCUAACUACGUG